This 400-nucleotide ribosomal RNA is filed under the name uncultured Glomus. Its description in RNAcentral is "SSU rRNA". It matches the Rfam family "Eukaryotic small subunit ribosomal RNA", at positions 569 to 974 of the family's 1831-position model. Lineage: Eukaryota; Fungi; Glomeromycota; Glomeromycetes; Glomerales; Glomeraceae. The record is from RNAcentral.
AGCAGCCGCGGUAAUUCCAGCUCCAAUAGCGUAUAUUAAAGUUGUUGCAGUUAAAAAGCUCGUAGUUGAAUUUCGGGGUUAGUACGCUGGUCGUGCCUUUGGUACGUACUGGUGUUACUGAUUCCUACCUUCUGAAGAACCGUCAUGUCAUUAAUUUGGUGUGGCGGGGAAUCAGGACUGUUACUUUGAAAAAUUAGAGUGUUUAAAGCAGGCUCGCGCUUGAAUACAUUAGCAUGGAAUAAUGAAAUAGGACGUUUGAUCUUAUUUUGUUGGUUUCUAGGAUUGACGUAAUGAUUAAUAGGGAUAGUUGAGGGCAUUAGUAUUCAAUUGUCAGAGGUGAAAUUCUUGGAUUUUAUGAAGACUAACUACUGCGAAAGCAUUUGCCAAGGAUGUUUUCAUU